GGAGAGAAGACAUUUAUGUCUUCAGACUAUUUUUGGACUAAUUAUGAAAUUAAGGCUCAUAAAUUUAAAAAGUUCACAUCAUGAGUUAAGCCACAGAGAGAUGAUGGGAAGUAUCUAGGAGUUAGGUAAAGGGCUUCACACUAUUUCUAGUCUGUCUGUGAAAGCUUUCUGGAUAUGUUGGUGUUUGAGCUGUAUUUCAUGUUUUGUUGUAAACAUCCUGUGAUAGAUUAACAUUAGGCCACCCCACCAUUUAUAACAAAACUACCAUUAAUGUGCAAAGAAUUAACAUUGUUGUGUCAGGAAAAGGAAAACCAAAGUGAAUUAGGAAGAAGCAGAAAACUGUUAGUGUUUGAAGGAAGAUACUGGGUCCCAGAUGGAGAGAACCAUCAGCCUGGGGUCAGGUUGGAGCCACACCCCUGAGUCAGGCACAUAGCAGGUGAGUAAGCAGGUGCCUGCUGCAGAUGUGUGUGCAGCCCGUGAGAUCCUCCCCACGCUUCCUUAGCAGCAGGCGUGUCAACUGAAAGACACUUCACUCGGGGAGAAUGACUUUCAGACAUGAGGAAUGGUUGUCACGUGAGUCCGUGAAGUGCUCACAUUCUUUUAACAGCAUACUCAACAAGUCAACAGUUUAUACCAUUUGAUUUUAAAGAUUUCAAAUGAAUACUGAGCAUUUCCUGGUAAAAGGCACUUUUUAAUCAACAUAAAAUGUCAAAAGGAAAUAACUUAAAUAUUUUUCAGGAUAUGAUGUUAUUCAUAUCAUAGACAAUGGACUAGCUUUAUUUUAUAGAAACUG
Molecule: long non-coding RNA, 793 nt
Filed under: Homo sapiens (human)
Lineage: Eukaryota; Metazoa; Chordata; Mammalia; Primates; Hominidae
Description: HSALNT0117205
Source: RNAcentral